AUACAAAUAUUCACAGCAGUGAGUGAAAGCCAUUGCAUUGUGUGAAACUUGCAGUGCCCAGAAAAGCAAAAAUGAAAAUUAUUUCCUCCCACUCCUCUUUAAUUGCAUCUGUUCAUAGGUACACAUAGACCUGUAUAAUUUUUACAGUUGGGAAAAAAUGCUUUUGCUAGUGAAAUAUUCAAUUUUAAAAUGAGAUAAAAUGAAAAACAGGAUUUUAAAUUUAAGAGCCAAUCUUUCAGAUUCAAUUUUUUUCUAGGUAAAGUAAGGUAUACAUAAGCUUGUCUGGCGAAAAUGCACCAUUAUGCAGAAAACAGACUA
Cebus imitator (Panamanian white-faced capuchin) is the source of this 318-nucleotide long non-coding RNA. RefSeq lists it as uncharacterized. NCBI's taxonomy places the organism in Eukaryota, Metazoa, Chordata, Mammalia, Primates, Cebidae. The record is from RefSeq and is a predicted model, not a curated record. The transcript has 3 exons.